GACGAACGCUGGCGGCGUGCUUAACACAUGCAAGUCGAACGGGCCUGUCUUCUUUUUUGGGGGUGGGUUGAGUGGCGAACGGGUGAGUAUCACGUGAGUAACCUGCCCUUCGGUCCUGGAUAACCGCUUGAAAGGGCGGCUAAUACGGGGUGGUCCGGUUGGUCCGCAUGGGCUGGUCGGGAUAGAUUCACUGUUUUUGGUGUUUCGGCGGGGGAUGGGCUCGCGGCCUAUCAGCUUGGUGGUGGGGUGAUGGCCUACCAAGGCGGUGACGGGUAGCCGGGCUGAGAGGGUGGGCGGCCAGACUGGGACUGAGAUACGGCCCAGACUCGUGCGGGAGGCAGCAGUGGGGGGUAUUGCAGGAUGGGCGGAAGCCUGAUGCAGCGACGUCGCGUGAGGGAUGGAGGCCUUCGGGUUGUGAACCUCUGUUUGCGGUGGUGAAGGCCCUGUCCGUGUGGUGGGGUUGACGGUAGCCGGGGAUGAAGCGCCGGCUAACUACGUG
RNAcentral lists this ribosomal RNA (499 nucleotides) under uncultured bacterium. RNAcentral's name for it is "partial 16S ribosomal RNA". It matches the Rfam family "Bacterial small subunit ribosomal RNA", at positions 28 to 507 of the family's 1533-position model. The record is from RNAcentral.